AUAAAAGCACUGAUGAGGAAGAGUAAUUACAUUUUUGAAAUAAAGAGAGGAAGAGCUGGUGAGAUUUUUCCAUGAUUGAUGUAGUGAAGGUAGCCUCGGAGCUUUGAACUGAAAGCAUUAUUAACUGAAAUUAAGUUUUUAAGAUGUGACUAGGUUUUAACGGAGUCCCUCCGUUAUAAGGGGUGUAGUAUCGGCUUUUACGCCCGCACUAUAUAGAGAGUGUACAUUUGUACAAAGUUAGGUGGUACCACGGAAUUUCGACCUUCGCCCUAUUA
Molecule: non-coding RNA, 275 nt
Filed under: Clostridium oryzae
Lineage: Bacteria; Bacillati; Bacillota; Clostridia; Eubacteriales; Clostridiaceae
Description: T-box sequence
Rfam family: T-box leader
About the family: Uncharged tRNA acts as the effector for transcription antitermination of genes in the T-box leader family. T-boxes are found upstream of many aminoacyl-tRNA synthetase genes and some amino acid biosynthetic genes usually in Gram-positive bacteria.
Source: RNAcentral